UCCGCCCUUUCACACUGUAGUUUUUCGUCUGCAAUAUCGGUCCCUUUAUCUUCGCCUCUUUGUCCGGUGAAUUUUAUAAUUCAGUAAGCUUGAAAUUUUCUCAGUCUACUGUUCAAACGAAGAGGGGAAAAAAAGGAGAUCUUUUUAUGAAUUGGCGCAGCAUCUGGGGGAGAAGAAGAGGAGCUCGAAAAAAAUAAGGAAAAGGGCAAAUCGAUUUUUGUUUAGUCUAUUCCAGCCUUUUGUGGCAAAUUGAGCCGUGGUGAGGUUUGCUAUUCCAGUGAAGAAGAACCGUAGACCGUUUUUGGCUUCUCUUCUUCUCAGAUCAUAAGCUCUCUGCUUCGUUUCGGUUGAUGGAUCUACUGCCUAUGGAAAAGAUUUGCUGAUGAACUUUGGUGGUUGGGACUUUAAUGCCUAGCAACGAAGUUAAAGACGUGUUCUGCAAUUUAUUUGAGCUGAAAGAUUUUUCCCGUGCUGCUGGACCUGUGACACGGGUUGCAGAUAUUUUUAGAGGGCAAAUCAUAGAUAAAGAUAUUGCAAAUGGUGGUUUCAAACUGAAGAACUUGAAUGCACAACAAGUAGGGGUUGUGUCCUCAAGAAACUUCUAUGCGAACCAUCCGGCGGUUCGAAAUGGUUUCCAGGUUGAACUACGGGAUUUCCAGGGAAUGCAAAAUCAACAGGGCUUAUUCUUGGAUAGCUUAGAUUUUAACCAAAACAAUAUAAUCUCAGGGGUGUCAUCUGGUUUUAAGUUUCAGCAAGAAAAUGACUCUGUGGGCAGUCCAACCUUGACAACAAAUUCAGAAAGGUCUGAGAUAACUGAAGCUUCAACCGAAUUUUGUCUACAAAGAAGGCAACAAAAUAAUUUUUCUGUCCAGCAACACCUAUUUCCACAGAAUAGCCCUAUGCAGCAAUCUGGUUUUGAUGAGAUGCAGUUGUUGCAACAGCAAGUGUUGCUCAAGCAAUUUCAGGUUCUUCAGAGGCAGCAACAACUUCAGCAGCAGAACCUUUUGAAUCCCUUUUCUCCGGCCCAUAGGCAAGCUAGUAUUGGGCAGUUUCCACCACUGGUUGAUGGAAUGCCUCUAGACUAUACCCCACAAGGAUAUAUGGACUGGCCACAGAGGAGUGCAUCCCCUGCUCCACAAGGAACGCUGAACAGAACCUUGUUUUCCAUGGGUCUUGGUUCUCAGCAGCUCGAUGCUUCUUUAUACGGUGCUCCAAUUGCUAAUGCAAGAGGCAAUGUUGGUCCACAGUCACCAAUGCAAGCCAUGUAUCAGGACUCCAGUAAUCUAGCAGCUAAGAGCACUGGUCAAAUGCAGAAACCUGUAACACAUUUGUCGGACUUUAGUAACCCAUUCCUGAAAGAUCAGUAUAAUUUUUCUCCCGCCCAGGUUUCGCUACAACCGGGAGCUUCUAUGUCGAAUUUCGGAUUUCAAGGGAAAGGUAUGCCAGUGGGCAGUCCUGUCCAUGGUUUGAACGAUGGGCUUUUAUCUGGCGAUCUCGUGUUGGGAAAUUCUCAGCAAAUCAGCAAACCUUCAAGUGCCAGCAGUGAGAGUCAGGGGCAAGUGAGCUGGUCCUCAGUUCAGCAAAAAGGUACAAAACCAUCUCAGGGUUUAGUUCCUCUUGACCCAUUAGAAGAGAAGAUCCUGUUUAAUAUGGAAGACAGUAGUAUAUCUGAGAUUGCAUCUGGAGUCUUUGGGGACAAAUAUGACAAUGUCAAUUUCACGAACUCAUUCUCUUCCAUUCAGAGCGGAAGUUGGAGUGCUCUAAUGCAGUCUGCUGUUGCAGAAGCUUCUAUCAGCGAUACUGGUGUUCAGGAGAAGUUUAGUGGUUUGACGCAUCAGAAUAUGGAACUAUUGGCUGAUAAUAGCAUGUCUAAAUUUAUAGAUAGUGAUAAGCAACAAACAGGUUGGAUGAAUGGUAGUUUGCCUGGGUCAGCACUCUUUGCCGUGGAACCUUUGGAGGUGGCUAAUUAUCCUGAUGUAAACUCUAGCUUCACUGGUUUUCAGCUGCUCUCAGAUCAGCAGAGAGUGAGUAGCGGUCAGGAUGGCGGUACUACUGAAUCCACUCAGAGAUCUCCAAAGGUAAUUGGGCGUUGGGUGGAUUGUAAUCCUCAACAUAAGCUAUCUGUGGGAGGAAAUCGACAGGUACGACCCAAUGUGCACUUUAAUGAUUCAUCUGAGGGUAAGAUGCACUCCAGUAAGAUUCUUGAUCAGGUGGAUUCUGGAAUAGGAAAUCUGGCAGCCAGUGCCGAUACUUCCUCUGCAAGUAUUGUUGGUGGAAUGCCAAACUCCUUUCAGUCGUUGACUUCUUCACUUGAUCUUUCUCAAGGUGGGAAAUGGGAAAAUUUAUCCUACCCUCUUGGAAGAACAAGUGUAUUUCCCGAUCUCAUACGACAGAAUGAUCCAGCUACAAUGUCUGCAUCUAGUGCUUUGAGUGGAAGAAGCGAGUCUCAGGUUCAAAUGGUCAAUCUACCUGACAAUGCAAGCCAAAUGUCUAUUCAAGCUGGCUUACCUCGUCAGGAUGUUGCUCGGCAAUUCAAUGUGUGGAUGGACUUACCGGCUCGCCAGGAUCCUCUAGAUGAGCAGGAAUCAUCCAAAGUUCCUUUGAAUACAUCAAAAUCAUCUUCUGUUUUGUUGGGGAAUAAUGUCUUAAGCUGGCAGAAAGCUCAUGGUCUGACUGAUACUUACAAUGUGUCACAAACAGUUGGUCUGCCUCAAGCUAAGGGACCUUCAGCUGAUCAUAUCUCUGUUUUAACUGCUUCCACCAAAGACUUUCUUCAUGUCAACACUGUUGGAGAUGCAAAAGUUAGCUCGAUGGUGGAAGCGGGGAAAAGUCAAAAUAUACAAAUUCCAUCGCAAAACCAACUUUCAGAUGUUUGCUCCAGUGGAAUGGUUGACCUAGUCCAGAAUCAAUCCAGUAGCAGUAUGGAACAUGGCCAUUUGUCUUCUGUGAAUGAUGCAGAUGUGCAUGCAGAACAAGAACAUGAUGCUCAGGACACAAUGAACCAAAGCAUGGAUAUCAUCAUAUCAAAGAAACGCAAACUUAUGGCGCCCCCAUGGCAUGAAGAAGCCACACAUGUGUCCAAGCGGCACCAAACAUUGAGUGACGCUGGACAAGAAUGGGCCCAAGUUACGAAUCGGUUGUUUGAGAAGGGAGAAUAUGAGAUUUGGAAAGUUGAAUCUAUCCAACGGUUGCCUCAAUCAAAGAGAAGGCUGGUACAGACUGUGCAGUUUAUGCAACAGCUUUUUUGCCCUGCACCUGCGUUCAUUCUCUUGUCAGAUGUAGCAUCAAGCUAUGCUAGUGUGUUAUACUUUGUUGCUAGAGCAACAUUAGGCGAUGCAUGCAGCAUUACCCACAAGGGACAAGAUGCUUUGCCAUCAUCUUCGAUUGAGGUUAAUGAGUUAUUCGAAAAGAUCAAAACAAAUGAGAGAAGAAGGGACAGGCAGUAUGCUGAAGUUGCUAGAGAGUUAACAGAGAAGAUAAAGAAGGUGGAAGGUGACUUGGAAAGACUGGAAAAAGCAGCUUCAAUGGCAGAAAUCAAGAUCGAAAUAGAGGACUUGGAAAGAUUUGCUGUCAUGAAUCGGUUUGCAAGGUUCCACAGCAGGGCACCACCGGCUGGCAACUCUGGGCCCACUAUGCCGAAGCCGAUACCUCGGAGAUACAUCACAGCAUCACUCUCUCAUAGAAACCUACCAGAGGGAGUUCAAUGCCUUUCGCUUUGAUUUUGUUCCGAGUCGGCUGAACCAGUCGCCUUUGCUUCAUGAUUGUGUUGGAAUUUGGAAAUCGGAAAUGAAGACCCUAUGAUGGGGCUCUCCCCCCAAAGAAAGCUAUGGGAACUGAUGUCUCCAGGUUGAAGUAGCACGCCAGUUAAUGUCAGUAUCGAACUCUGUCCGCUCCGACAUGUCAGGAUCCGGUCUCGUCUGAUUUUGUUGGAGGAAAGUGAUGCAAAGUCAGAUGUGGUGCCCAGCCGUUAAAACAUGCACUAUUAUCUAACAUACAUAAAUAUAUAUAUAUAUAUAUAUAUAUAUAUAUAUACACACAUGGUUUCAUCAUCCGUAUAAAAUCUGUCAUUUGAUUUUUUUGUCAUUGGCUUUUUUUUCAUUGAGAUGAGGGGGAAAAAUAACAGAAGAUUAAUUUCAAUAGAUGAUUAUGGUCUGAUUUUAAGAGUUUCAUUUUUGGUAAAUCAGUUGUAUUCGGAAAAUGUGAUUUAUAAAAAAA
Molecule: RNA transcript, 4215 nt
Organism: Tarenaya hassleriana
Lineage: Eukaryota; Viridiplantae; Streptophyta; Magnoliopsida; Brassicales; Cleomaceae
Exons: 9
Source: RefSeq, a predicted model, not a curated record